UUUGGGAGAAAAAGAUGACAGUGUUUACUACACCACAGGACCAUUUGAAAAAAAAAAAAAAAAAAAGAACCUGCGACCUUUGGGUUUCAAGUCCGACUCUCUAACCAGUCAUACCUUUAAUCAUGUUGUCAAAAACAAGACCGUUCUGUUGCAAGAUGAUUUUUCCACUUAAACUACAGCAGAUGUGAUAUUCAUGCUUAUAUGUGAAGUGGUUUUGAAAGUUGUCAAAUUCACUGAUUCUCUCUCUCUCUCUCUCGGCUGUAGAUAUGCUUUUGUAUGGUCCCGUCCCAACCCAUGAGGAUUUCAAACCUGUCGUUUGCAAUGCCUGCAACAAAGUCGUUGAGCCUCAGGACGUCCUGACUCAUUACGGUAGUUGGGGAAUAGUUGAACACUGAGUAGAGAGGACCGCGUCCACCUCGAGCCCUCCAGAGCCAUGCAUAGCAAGAACCAGAGGAGACACUGCUCACCCAGCAGCUCCAGGACCCCUCUAGUUCCUGUCAAGGCCAAGAUGUCGGUGGGCCAGAGUGAGGUGGAGCCCCUUCCCUUCCGGGUUCCUUGCGAUUACCCACACUCACGCUUCAGCAAGGCGCCGCUGGCCGUCUAUCCACCC
This 610-nucleotide long non-coding RNA is filed under the name Sinocyclocheilus anshuiensis. RNAcentral's name for it is "lncRNA (ENSSANG00000000790.1)". The record is from RNAcentral. Lineage: Eukaryota; Metazoa; Chordata; Actinopteri; Cypriniformes; Cyprinidae.